Molecule: ribosomal RNA, 509 nt
Filed under: uncultured eukaryote
Lineage: Eukaryota
Description: bacterial SSU rRNA
Rfam family: Eukaryotic small subunit ribosomal RNA
Source: RNAcentral
CCUGACGGUAGUCGUAUGCUCGUCUCCGAGACUAAGCCAUGCAAGUCCAAGUACACGUCCUUGAACGACGGAAACUGCGAACGGCUCAUUAAAUCAGUUGCGAUCUACUCGGCGUUCCGCGCCGCCCGGAUAACCGUAGUAAUUCUAGGGCUAAUACGUGCGAAGCGCCCCGAAGCCGCGAGGCGACGGGCGUUCUCGCCGGAUGUAGGAACCGACCCCGGGGACCGCCGGGGGCAACCCCGGGCGCCCCCCGAGACGGGGGCGAACCACGGUGAAAUGACGGAUCGUCGGCCCCGCGCCGGCGACUCGCCGAAUGAGUUUCUGACCUAUCAACUCGAGACGGCGGGGUAGAGGCCCGCCGCGGUAACGACGGGUAACGGGGAAUCAGGGUUCGAUUCCGGAGAGGGGAGCCCGAGAACGGCUACCACUUCCAAGGAAGGCAGCAGGCGCGCAACUUACCCUAAUCUCGAUUCGAGGAGGUAGUGACAAGAAAUACCGAUGCGGGACCC